UACGUAGGGUGCAAGCGUUAAUCGGAAUUACUGGGCGUAAAGCGUGCGCAGGCGGUUCGCUAAGACAGAUGUGAAAUCCUCGGGCUUAACCUGGGAACUGCAUUUGUGACUGGCGGGCUAGAGUAUGGCAGAGGGGGGUAGAAUUCCACGUGUAGCAGUGAAAUGCGUAGAGAUGUGGAGGAAUACCGAUGGCGAAGGCAGCCCCCUGGGCCAAUACUGACGCUCAUGCACGAAAGCGUGGGGAGCAAACAGG
RNAcentral lists this ribosomal RNA (253 nucleotides) under uncultured bacterium. RNAcentral describes it as "partial 16S ribosomal RNA". It matches the Rfam family "Bacterial small subunit ribosomal RNA", at positions 524 to 776 of the family's 1533-position model. The record is from RNAcentral.